UAAAGGAUAGAUAAUAGACAGUAACAGCAGUAUACUGUAGGUAGGGGUAAAGGAUAGAUAAUAGACAGAAACAGCAGUAUACUGUAGGUAGGGGUAAAGGAUAUAUAAUAGACAGUAACAGCAGUAUACUGUAGGUAGGGGUAAAGGAUAGAUAAUAGACAGUAACAGCAGUAUACUGUAGGUAGGGGUAAAGGAUAGAUAAUAGACAGUAACAGCAGUAUACUGUAGGUAGGGGUAAAGGAUAGAUAAUAGACAGUAACAGCAGUAUACUGUAGGUAGGGGUAAAGGAUAGAUAAUAGACAGUAACAGCAGUAUACUAUAGGUAGGGGUAAAGGAUAGAUAAUAGACAGUAACAGCAGUAUACUGUAGGUAGGGGUAAAGGAUAGAUAAUAGACAGUAACAGCAGUAUACUAUAGGUAGGGGUAAAGGAUAUAUAAUAGACAGUAACAGCAGUAUACUGUAGGUAGGGGUACAGGAUAGAUAAUAGACAGUAACAGCAGCGUAUGUGAUGAGUCAAAAGA
RNAcentral lists this long non-coding RNA (521 nucleotides) under Salmo salar (Atlantic salmon). RNAcentral describes it as "lncRNA (ENSSSAG00000112187.1)". The record is from RNAcentral. Lineage: Eukaryota; Metazoa; Chordata; Actinopteri; Salmoniformes; Salmonidae.